CUGCAAUCAAUGAAGCUAACUCUAUUACCUUGCUGGUGGGUGCUCAGCAUGUAGUGUUUGCCAAUAGCAACUUCCUCAGGCGUGUAUGCAGCCUGUUGCUUGUACAGGCUGCCUUAAAGGGUCUUGGAGAUGCUG
Cavia porcellus (domestic guinea pig) is the source of this 135-nucleotide small nucleolar RNA. Its record names the gene SNORA70. It matches the Rfam family "Small nucleolar RNA SNORA70". Rfam says of the family: snoRNA U70 seems to be exclusive to mammals and is a member of the H/ACA class of snoRNA which contain H (ANANNA) and ACA box motifs. NCBI's taxonomy places the organism in Eukaryota, Metazoa, Chordata, Mammalia, Rodentia, Caviidae. The record is from Ensembl.